Molecule: unclassified non-coding RNA, 178 nt
Filed under: Stachybotrys nephrospora
Lineage: Eukaryota; Fungi; Ascomycota; Sordariomycetes; Hypocreales; Stachybotryaceae
Description: sequence contains ITS2
Source: RNAcentral
CAACCCUCAGGGCCCCCCUUCCGGGGGAGGGACCUGGCGUUGGGGAUCGGCCCCGCCACCACGCGCGGCGCCGUCCCCCAAAUACAGUGGCGGUCCCGCCGCAGCCUCCCCUGCGUAGUAGCAAACACCUCGCACCGGAGCGCGGCGCGGCCUCGCCGUGAAACCCCCAACUUCUGAA